RNAcentral lists this ribosomal RNA (300 nucleotides) under uncultured Larkinella sp. Its description in RNAcentral is "bacterial SSU rRNA". It matches the Rfam family "Bacterial small subunit ribosomal RNA", at positions 495 to 795 of the family's 1533-position model. The record is from RNAcentral. Lineage: Bacteria; Pseudomonadati; Bacteroidota; Cytophagia; Cytophagales; Spirosomataceae.
GGGGAACUACGUGCGAGGGGCGUCGGUAGUAGGGUGGGAGCAGGGGUUGGCCGGAAUCGUGGGGCGUAAGGCGGUGGUAGGGGGGCCGGUAAGGCCGUUGUGGAAGUCGAAGGCGCAACCGUUGAAAGCUGAUGGAUACGGCAGGGGUAGAGUCCGGAAGAGGCGAGUGGAAUGCCUGGUGGAGCGGUGGAAUGCGCAGAUAUCAGGAGGAACACCAAGAGCGAAGGCAGCUCGCUGGGACGGUACUGACGCUAAGGCGCGAAAGCGUGGGGAGCGAACAGGAUUAGAUACCCGGUAGUC